GAUGCAAGAAAAAUUCACUAAUCUUCCAAAAACUGGGUUCACUCUACCGAAACUCACUAUGAUCCUUCAGACACAAUACCAUCUGCAAAUUUGGCAAGUGAACAUGAUGAUGUGUUCCAAACACAGACAAGCCUUCAGAGCAGUGUAAAUCAACUGAGUAAUAACAUAUUUCUACUUCAAAUAUGUGCACAUCCAUCAGAAACAACAGCCUCAAGCCCCAU
Long non-coding RNA from Arachis duranensis, 221 nucleotides. RefSeq lists it as uncharacterized. The transcript is spliced from 3 exons. NCBI's taxonomy places the organism in Eukaryota, Viridiplantae, Streptophyta, Magnoliopsida, Fabales, Fabaceae. The record is from RefSeq and is a predicted model, not a curated record.